This 1434-nucleotide ribosomal RNA is filed under the name uncultured organism. RNAcentral describes it as "16S ribosomal RNA". It matches the Rfam family "Bacterial small subunit ribosomal RNA". The record is from RNAcentral.
CUUAACACAUGCAAGUCGAGGGGCAGCAUGGUCUUAGCUUGCUAAGGCCGAUGGCGACCGGCGCACGGGUGAGUAACACGUAUCCAACCUGCCGUCUACUCUUGGACAGCCUUCUGAAAGGAAGAUUAAUACAAGAUGGCAUCAUGAGUCCGCAUGUUCACAUGAUUAAAGGUAUUCCGGUAGACGAUGGGGAUGCGUUCCAUUAGAUAGUAGGCGGGGUAACGGCCCACCUAGUCUUCGAUGGAUAGGGGUUCUGAGAGGAAGGUCCCCCACAUUGGAACUGAGACACGGUCCAAACUCCUACGGGAGGCAGCAGUGAGGAAUAUUGGUCAAUGGGCGAGAGCCUGAACCAGCCAAGUAGCGUGAAGGAUGACUGCCCUAUGGGUUGUAAACUUCUUUUAUAAAGGAAUAAAGUCGGGUAUGCAUACCCGUUUGCAUGUACUUUAUGAAUAAGGAUCGGCUAACUCCGUGCCAGCAGCCGCGGUAAUACGGAGGAUCCGAGCGUUAUCCGGAUUUAUUGGGUUUAAAGGGAGCGUAGAUGGAUGUUUAAGUCAGUUGUGAAAGUUUGCGGCUCAACCGUAAAAUUGCAGUUGAUACUGGAUAUCUUGAGUGCAGUUGAGGCAGGCGGAAUUCGUGGUGUAGCGGUGAAAUGCUUAGAUAUCACGAAGAACUCCGAUUGCGAAGGCAGCCUGCUAAGCUGCAACUGACAUUGAGGCUCGAAAGUGUGGGUAUCAAACAGGAUUAGAUACCCUGGUAGUCCACACGGUAAACGAUGAAUACUCGCUGUUUGCGAUAUACAGCAAGCGGCCAAGCGAAAGCGUUAAGUAUUCCACCUGGGGAGUACGCCGGCAACGGUGAAACUCAAAGGAAUUGACGGGGGCCCGCACAAGCGGAGGAACAUGUGGUUUAAUUCGAUGAUACGCGAGGAACCUUACCCGGGCUUAAAUUGCAGAUGAAUUACGGUGAAAGCCGUAAGCCGCAAGGCAUCUGUGAAGGUGCUGCAUGGUUGUCGUCAGCUCGUGCCGUGAGGUGUCGGCUUAAGUGCCAUAACGAGCGCAACCCUUGUUGUCAGUUACUAACAGGUUCCGCUGAGGACUCUGACAAGACUGCCAUCGUAAGAUGUGAGGAAGGUGGGGAUGACGUCAAAUCAGCACGGCCCUUACGUCCGGGGCUACACACGUGUUACAAUGGGGGGGUACAGAGGGCCGCUACCACGCGAGUGGAUGCCAAUCCCAAAAACCUCUCUCAGUUCGGACUGGAGUCUGCAACCCGACUCCACGAAGCUGGAUUCGCUAGUAAUCGCGCAUCAGCCACGGCGCGGUGAAUACGUUCCCGGGCCUUGUACACACCGCCCGUCAAGCCAUGGGAGCCGGGGGUACCUGAAGUGCGUAACCGCGAGGAGCGCCCUAGGGUAAAACUGGUGACUGGGGCUAA